GAUGAACGCUGGCGGCGUGCCUAAUACAUGCAAGUCGAGCGAACGGACGAGAAGCUUGCUUCUCUGACGUUAGCGGCGGACGGGUGAGUAACACGUGGAUAACCUACCUAUAAGACUGGGAUAACUUCGGGAAACCGUAGCUAAUACCGGAUAAUAUUUUGAACCGCAUGGUUCAAAAGUGAAAGACGGUCUUGCUGUCACUUAUAGAUGGAUCCGCGCUGCAUUAGCUAGUUGGUAAGGUAACGGCUUACCAGGGCAACGAUGCACAGCCGACCUGAGAGGGUGAUCGGCCACACUGGAACUGAGACACGGUCCAGACUCCUACGGGAGGCAGCAGUAGGGAAUCUUCCGCAAUGGGCGAAAGCCUGACGGAGCAACGCCGCGUGAGUGAUGAAGGUCUUCGGAUCGUAAAACUCUGUUAUUAGGGAAGAACAUAUGUGUAAGUAACUGUGCACAUCUUGACGGUACCUAAUCAGAAAGCCACGGCUAACUACGUG
Molecule: ribosomal RNA, 497 nt
Filed under: uncultured bacterium
Lineage: Bacteria
Description: partial 16S ribosomal RNA
Rfam family: Bacterial small subunit ribosomal RNA
Source: RNAcentral